CUCCUUGUCCCUUGUCUAGAUCCUAGUCAUUCUCUACAACACAGUUCAAACAUCGCUGCCUCAAGGAAACCCUACCUCACCACAUCAUCAGCCCUCAGCUUCCGUCCCAGCCCCGGCCAAGUGAUCUUCCUCUCUGUUCCCAUGACUCUGGGAAAUCAGGUCCAGACUACAUAAAGGAUUAUUUACCCAAAAUUCAUCAGCACACCUCCUAUGUAGGAGAACAGCAUCUGGCGUUAGAAAAAACUGGAGAUCUCAGAUAUUUAUGGAGGCCUGCCUCAAAUAGAAGCUUGCCAGCAAAAUAUAAACAUGAGUACGUUGGUGAAAUUGGCUGGGGAGUACCACAGUAUAAUUUUAUCAACAAAUCAAGACUGGAGAGUGGCUUUCAUAUCAAGGCAACCAAAACCUCAUGUCCUGGAUAUGCAAGGAAAACAGAGUCGCGCUUCUUUUGCCUGGCAUAUGAGUGCUUUCGAGGACACUGAUCAGAGAAAUUCCAAAUGGGCUAUUCUUGUUAGGCAGUGUAAGUCAUCAUUGCCAAGAGCUUCCAAACCACCUAAGCUGCCGAAGCUACCAAAAAAGGAAAAGAAAAGGAAACGUUAACCUCUAAAUCAGCAUAACUCAACCUGCUUUUAGAAGGAGAAACUGCCUACUACUGUAGAACAAAAAAUAAGAUCAUAAUAAUCCACAAGUGCUUCUCAUAUUGCCCCAGGACAGAUGUCUUGCAAGAGUACGCUUCAGCUUAAAGCCCAAAUAAAGAGU
Molecule: small RNA, 756 nt
Filed under: Pan troglodytes (chimpanzee)
Lineage: Eukaryota; Metazoa; Chordata; Mammalia; Primates; Hominidae
Description: processed transcript
Source: RNAcentral